This 468-nucleotide ribosomal RNA is filed under the name uncultured bacterium. RNAcentral describes it as "partial 16S ribosomal RNA". It matches the Rfam family "Bacterial small subunit ribosomal RNA", at positions 36 to 507 of the family's 1533-position model. The record is from RNAcentral.
UCCUCCCUCUUUCUUCGUGCUUAACACAUGCAAGUCGAACGGAAAGGCCCUGCUUUUGUGGGGUGCUCGAGUGGCGAACGGGUGAGUAACACGUGAGUAACCUGCCCUUGACUUUGGGAUAACUUCAGGAAACUGGGGCUAAUACCGGAUAGGAGCUCCUGCUGCAUGGUGGUGGUUGGAAAGUUUCGGCGGUUGGGGAUGGACUCGCGGCUUAUCAGCUUGUUGGUGGGGUAGUGGCUUACCAAGGCUUUGACGGGUAGCCGGCCUGAGAGGGUGACCGGCCACAUUGGGACUGAGAUACGGCCCAGACUCCUACGGGAGGCAGCAGUGGGGAAUAUUGCACAAUGGGCGGAAGCCUGAUGCAGCAACGCCGCGUGCGGGAUGACGGCCUUCGGGUUGUAAACCGCUUUCGCCUGUGACGAAGCGUGAGUGACGGUAAUGGGUAAAGAAGCACCGGCUAACUACGUG